CGGUUAAGUUAGAAAGGGCGCACGGUGGAUGCCUUGGCACUAGGAGCCGAUGAAGGACGGGACAAACACCGAAAUGCUUCGGGGAGCUGUAAGUAAGCGUCGAUCCGGAGAUGUCCGAAUGGGGGAACCCACUGUCCGUAAUGGGGCAGUAUCCAUACCUGAAUCCAUAGGGUAUGGAGGGCAACCCGGGGAACUGAAACAUCUAAGUACCCGGAGGAAGAGAAAGCAACAGCGAUUCCCUGAGUAGCGGCGAGCGAAACGGGAACAGCCCAAACCAAGAGGCGUGCCUCUUGGGGUUGUAGGACACUCGAUCAAGGAGUGACAAAGGAACGGGGUAGACGAAGAGGUCUGGAAAGGCCCGUCAGAGAAGGUAACAACCCUGUAGUCGAAACUCCGUUCCCUCCCGAGUGGAUCCUGAGUACGGCGGGACACGUGAAAUCCCGUCGGAAGCAGGGAGGACCAUCUCCCAAGGCUAAAUACUCCCUAGUGACCGAUAGUGAACCAGUACCGUGAGGGAAAGGUGAAAAGCACCCCGGGAGGGGAGUGAAAGAGAACCUGAAA
RNAcentral lists this ribosomal RNA (561 nucleotides) under Aeribacillus pallidus. RNAcentral describes it as "partial 23S ribosomal RNA". It matches the Rfam family "Bacterial large subunit ribosomal RNA", at positions 1 to 555 of the family's 2925-position model. Lineage: Bacteria; Bacillati; Bacillota; Bacilli; Caryophanales; Bacillaceae. The record is from RNAcentral.